RNAcentral lists this ribosomal RNA (377 nucleotides) under uncultured Nitrosomonas sp. RNAcentral describes it as "bacterial SSU rRNA". It matches the Rfam family "Bacterial small subunit ribosomal RNA", at positions 468 to 842 of the family's 1533-position model. Lineage: Bacteria; Pseudomonadati; Pseudomonadota; Betaproteobacteria; Nitrosomonadales; Nitrosomonadaceae. The record is from RNAcentral.
GCUGACGGUUCCGUGAGAAGAGGCACCGGCUAACUACGUGCCAGCGGCCGCGGUAAUACGUAGGGUGCUAGCGUUAAUCGGAAUUACUGGGCGUAAAGGGUGCGCAGGCGGCUUGCUAAGUCGGGUGUGAAAGCCCCGAGCUUAACUUGUGAAUUGCGUUUGAAACUGCUGGACUUGAGUGUGGGAGAGGGAAGUGGAAUUCCAUGGUGUAGCAAUGAAAUGCGUAGAGAUGUGGAGGAACACCGAUGGCGAAGGCUGCCUCCUGGACCGUGACUGACGCUCAUGAACGAAUGCCUGGAAAGCGAACUGGAUUAACUACCCUGGCAAUCCCCGCCCUAAACUAUGUCUACUAGUUGUUGGAAGAGUUAUAUCCUUUA